RNAcentral lists this ribosomal RNA (253 nucleotides) under uncultured bacterium. Its description in RNAcentral is "partial 16S ribosomal RNA". It matches the Rfam family "Bacterial small subunit ribosomal RNA", at positions 524 to 776 of the family's 1533-position model. The record is from RNAcentral.
UACGUAGGGGGCAAGCGUUGUCCGGAUUUAUUGGGCGUAAAGAGCGUGUAGGCGGUUUGGUAGGUCCGCUGUGAAAACUCGAGGCUCAACCUCGAGACGCCGGUGGAAACCAUCAGACUAGAGUCCGGAAGAGGAGAGUGGAAUUCCUGGUGUAGCGGUGAAAUGCGCAGAUAUCAGGAGGAACACCGAUGGCGAAGGCAGGUCUCUGGGCCGAUACUGACGCUGAGGAGCGAAAGCGUGGGGAGCGAACAGG